This 440-nucleotide ribosomal RNA is filed under the name uncultured bacterium. RNAcentral's name for it is "bacterial SSU rRNA". It matches the Rfam family "Bacterial small subunit ribosomal RNA", at positions 8 to 438 of the family's 1533-position model. The record is from RNAcentral.
AGAGUUUGAUCCUGGCUCAGAAUUGAACGCUGGCGGCGUGCCUAACACAUGCAAGUCGAGCGGUAACAGGUGUAGCAAUACAUGCUGACGAGCGGCGAACGGGCGAGUAAUGCUUUGGAAUCUUCCCAGUAGUGGGGAAUAACCAGUCGAAAGAUUGGCUAAUACCGCAUACGUCUGUAAAGGGAAAGCGGGGGCUCGUAAGAGACCUCGCCGCUAUUGGAUGAGCCAAAGUCGGAUUAGCUAGUUGGUGGGGUUAAUGGGCCUACCCAGGGCCGACCAUUCCGGUAAGCCUGGGUUCUGGAAGAAGGGAACCGAACCCCAGCCCCCACCACCCCGGGGAAAAACUGGAAAGAAACCACCGGGGUUUCCCGGGGAAACCUCCCCUAACCGGGGGAAGGGCCAAGCCAGGUUGGGGGGAAAAUAUUUUGGAACCAAAUGGG